RNAcentral lists this ribosomal RNA (717 nucleotides) under Awacaris morinoi. RNAcentral describes it as "partial 28S ribosomal RNA". The stretch from base 1 to 87 matches the Rfam family "Bacterial large subunit ribosomal RNA", at positions 471 to 559 of the family's 2925-position model. The record is from RNAcentral. Lineage: Eukaryota; Metazoa; Arthropoda; Malacostraca; Amphipoda; Pontogeneiidae.
UAUUUCCACAGAACCGAUAGUAAACAAGUACCGCGAGGGAAAGUUGAAAAGCACUCUGAAGAGAGAGUUAAAAGACCGUGAAACCGCUCAGAGUAUAAGCCAAUGGUUAUUCGGAAGGCAGGGUCCGGAUUCCACCCCAGCUGAGCUUUAUGCUGUUCCAGGGGCAAGGGUCCAUCGUUUUGUGUAAAGAAAGAAGGCGCUGAUGUGGUGAACAAACCUUAACGUGGCAUUGAGUUGAUAGCACACCNGAGGAUGAAAACUUGCGGGCCCAAGAGAGCAUGAAAAGAUGGAGGCUUCCACUCUGUGGAUGCUGAUAUCGUUCGGGCUUGUGCAAGCCGGCGUUUACCGCACACUGACGAGUGGACUACAUACUGCCCACCACAACUCUUUAUGAGGUCAGGCAUGCAAGACNUGGCUUGGUUGGUGCUCUGCGCGUUAAUCCAGCAUGGGGAUCUGGUGUACCGUAAGAAAACACAGCCCGGUAGCGCGCGCCUACAGCGCCCGUGGNGACCCCAUGCCGGCAGGCACUUCCAUGUCNACNGAGAAAAGCGUGUUAUUCUAUGAUCCUCUGUGAAGGUUGCUAUUCUGACGCCCCUAAUGCCUUGAGUCAUUGUCGAGAUGGCAGUGAUUAGGAGGAACCAGUAGCCUGCCCUAACCCGAUGAAUUUGCAAACAGGAACUGGCAGUUUUGCGAGGCCUGCUGCGAGGAGGAUGGGUG